GGUGGCUCAGUGGUAGAGCGCUUGUCUAGCAUGCAUGAAGCCCUGGGUUCGAUUCCUCAGUACCA
Molecule: transfer RNA, 65 nt
Filed under: Dipodomys ordii (Ord's kangaroo rat)
Lineage: Eukaryota; Metazoa; Chordata; Mammalia; Rodentia; Heteromyidae
Rfam family: tRNA
About the family: Transfer RNA (tRNA) molecules are approximately 80 nucleotides in length.
Source: Rfam by way of RNAcentral